Molecule: ribosomal RNA, 429 nt
Filed under: Gemmatimonadota bacterium
Lineage: Bacteria; Pseudomonadati; Gemmatimonadota
Description: Gemmatimonadetes bacterium partial 16S ribosomal RNA
Rfam family: Bacterial small subunit ribosomal RNA
Source: RNAcentral
UAGGGAAUCUUCGGCAAUGGACGAAAGUCUGACCGAGCAACGCCGCGUGAGUUAAGAAGGUUUUCGGAUCGUAAAACUCUGUUGUUAGAGAAGAACAAGGACGUUAGUAACUGAACGUCCCCUGACGGUAUCUAACCAGAAAGCCACGGCUAACUACGUGCCAGCAGCCUCGGUAAUACGUAGGUGGCAAGCGUUGUCCGGAUUUAUUGGGCGUAAAGCGAGCGCAGGCGGUUUCUUAAGUGUGAUAUGAAAGCCCCCGGCUCAACCGGGGAGGGUCAUUGGAAACUGGGAGACUUGAGUGCAGAAGAGGAGAGUGGAAUUCCAUGUGUAGAGGUGAAAUGCGUAGAUAGAUGGAGGAACACCAGUAGCGAAGGCGGCUCUCUGGUCUGUAACUGACGCUGAGGCUCGAAAGCGUGGGGAGCAAACAGG